This 434-nucleotide long non-coding RNA is filed under the name Manihot esculenta (cassava). RNAcentral's name for it is "long non-coding RNA (MESC_LNC000322)". Lineage: Eukaryota; Viridiplantae; Streptophyta; Magnoliopsida; Malpighiales; Euphorbiaceae. The record is from RNAcentral.
UAGGGGUGUGCAUCGGUCAGUUCGGUUCGGUACCGAAUCGAAUCGGCCAAAACCGAUUUAACCGAAUUUUUUCAAAUUGUAGACCGAACCGAACCAAAUAAGAUAAAGAACCGAAUUGAACCGAACCGAAUUGGUUCGGUUCGGUUCGGUUCGAAAUCGGUUUUGAUCUUUUUCUCUAAUUUUAUUGAAUUAUAUUAUAAUUUGGGCAAGAAUUGAUUUGAAUCUAAUCCAAUCAAUUAAUCACAAAAUCCAAUCAAUUAAUCACAAAAUCCAAUCAAUUAAUCACAAAAUCCAAAUUAAUCAACAUCUUCUAACCUAAUAUACUUAAUCAAAUAUAAUAGUUAAAUUAUAAAAUAAUUCAUAACAGCAUCAAAAUAUAACAGUAAGUAAUUUACCACGAUUGUGCAAGGGAGAGAUGCGAGCGACGGCNNNNN